Molecule: non-coding RNA, 2441 nt
Organism: Paramuricea clavata
Lineage: Eukaryota; Metazoa; Cnidaria; Anthozoa; Malacalcyonacea; Plexauridae
Source: the annotation of a GenBank genome assembly
GUCGGCACUUUGAUCUUUUUUUCUUAGGGGUUCAAAUUUUAUUGACUUCGUCCACAGGGGGGUGUGUUCAUUAAAUGGAAUGGCCCUUUUGAAUUAUAUAUUGAAUUCUCAAGAUGUCCUGUAUUUUCGGAAUUUGUUUUUUACUUUAUUUUUUUAAAUUGUCGGCUGGUCAUGGCUUUUUUUUAAUAAGUUUUUUUGGGGAAUUUACUUUUAUUUGCCUAGAUAAAAAAUUAACCUGACAUGCAAUUUGUCAUUUGCGAUGCUAAAGCUAGCCCGCGUGCUGGCCCAUCGAGGGUAUAUUCUUCUCUCGAUGGGCCUGCACGCGGGCUAUGCUAUAAAGCCGGUUACAGAUGAGUAGGUUUUCUAUACUCUAUAGUUUAUUCGUCAAUCGCACGUGUUUACCUACAAUAAAUUUUCUAUGACAAAGUUUUAGCUUUCUGACAGUCACGAUAACUAAAUAUUACUAUACUAGCUACUAGAAGUUACUAACUUAGGCCCCGUUUACAUGAGAUCGCGACGAAGUCGAACCAGAAUGAAAAUUGAAAUUGUCAACAUGUUCACUUGAGACCGGUACGAAAAUCACGAAAUUUUCAAUUUAUUCCCCUUGCCAGACAAUUAAUUUCUUUUUCAGAUGGCUUUUGUUAGCAUGUGUUGUUCCAAUGUCAAGGUUACAGCCGAGACCGGUCUGAAAUGUACUUGCGUUCACAUUCAUCCCGGUCUAAGGCCCCAGUUAUACACCAUACCGGAUUCGUAUCGGAGCGACAUCGAUUUAAGGUGUUUUCCAGUCAUGCCUGCUCUUACAACUUUUUAUAUUUGAAGCUUUUGUUUAAUUAUGUUAUAUUAUCAUAAUUUUAAGUGCCCAAAUUCAACUCGAAGCAGUAAAAUUUGAUGUCGCUCCGAUGCGAAUCCGGUAUCGUGUAACUGGGGCCUAAGUCAGUCGGCUAGGUCCAGCAGGCGGAAUGACUUGAGACCGGUCAGAGUUAUUUUCGUCCUGGUCUCAUGUUUACAUCUAUUAUAAAUAAUACUAUGACCAAAACGAAAUGGUCCCGAUUUCACUUCGUUCCGGUUUCAUGUAAACGGGGCCUUAAGCCAGUUUUCCACUUCAAUCGUAUCGUACCGAAACGUAGCGUGUUUCUUUGUUUCUUGACCACUAGAGUGGAACUAAUGACUUCGACACAAAAGAAAAUGCUACGGUACGUUACGAUAUAGUUGAAGUGGAAAACCGGCUGUACUUUAUUUAUUUAACUUCGCCAUUAUCAUGCAUGCAUUCAUGGCAGGGUCACCACAACAGUAUAUGUUACAAAUUACUGUGGGCCCUUUAAAUUUUAAAUAGAUAAUAAAACACAAAUAAAAUACAACGAAAGUGAUCAAAGUCAUCACACGAAUUGGAACUUGAAGCCAAGCAAACAAAUUCCUCGAAGUUUUCGUUGUAUUGUAUUUCACAAACAUACUUAAUUAGCUGCUUGCAAAUUUUAUAAAACAUAUAACAAUUCAUAGAAUAUAAAAUAGCUAUUGAAACUUAAUAAACAAGGGUAGGAAGAUCUGACAACUUCGAAAAAUAGAUCAAAACAGUAAAGAACCUGGACGUGCACAAAUUGACACAAAUCUAUGCAAAUUUAGACAGAACAUAAAAUUAAGACUUACAACCUUCCUAAUCAUGUUUAUAUUUCAAUAACUAUGAGACACUAUAAUAGCAGCAAGAGAGUGAAGCAGCAAGACUACGAGCAGUGUUACACUUUAAUCAGAUAGACUUCCAUGUCCGAGGAUUUUGAGGUUGAUUUAUAGGUAUAAGGCAGUUUUGAAGUAGUCUAACAGCAGAGAUUUAAAUCUUGGUAAAGUGAGAGACUGAUGUCUCAGUUCUGCAGGAAGAACGUUCCAAACUCUUGCUGUUCUAUUCAUGAAUACUAUCACAAGGAAUGAAAGAAAGUGCUGCCUCACCCCCAAGGGAUCAAAGGCAGCAUGCGCAAUCCGUUGCUGAAUAAAGUCUGGUUUCUAUAUGGUCGUAAAAAUAGAAUAACGAUCUUUCUAAAUGGCCAGUUUAUAUAGAGAAUAAUACAUGGGUGCGCGGAAAUACCAGAUUUAUUUCGAGUGUUGAACAUGAUAUCAUGUUCAACACGAGAAAUAAAUCUGGUAAUUCCAAGCACCCAUGUAUUUUUCUGUUUAUUAUAUAAAGGACAGUCUUUGAAAAGCGAUAAUUUUUACAGAAAAGCGAUAAUUGAAAAGCGAUAAUUUUCACAUGUGAGAUUAUCAUGAAUAAUCUCACAUGUGAGAUUAUCACUUUUAUCAGUGCUCGAAAUCUCUUUCAAAAACUCAUUAAUAAUUCAUGAAGCAAUUAUCCAAUCUUGAGUAAGAAAUUAGUCACGUGCAUGCGUCUUUAUACCAGCUAAAGAACACUUUAACAAAAGACCAUUGUUAUGCAAACUAUAUAAAUAUUUUUAUAU